This 73-nucleotide transfer RNA is filed under the name Nostoc sp. RNAcentral's name for it is "tRNA-Gln". It matches the Rfam family "tRNA". Rfam says of the family: Transfer RNA (tRNA) molecules are approximately 80 nucleotides in length. Their secondary structure includes four short double-helical elements and three loops (D, anti-codon, and T loops). The record is from RNAcentral. RNAcentral also lists the same sequence under 12 other names. Lineage: Bacteria; Bacillati; Cyanobacteriota; Cyanophyceae; Nostocales; Nostocaceae.
UGCCGGGUGGACGAAUUGGAAAGUCGCAUCGCUCUGAACGAUGAGGUUGCAGGUUCAAACCCUGCCCUGGCAA